AAACACUAACGAUGGCGGCGCCGGGAAGCGACCGGCUGCUGGGCUUAAGGCGGGAGUGACCGCUUAACCAGUGAGGGAAGCACUGAAGAGCGCCAGUCGACGUGGGUGCGACAACUCGCGGAGUCUUAGGAGCAAAACGUCUGGGGCCUGCGAGCCAGGACCCUUCUGAAGCCUUAGGUGUCUAUCGGCGACGUGUACGGUCACUGCAGCUCCGGAGCGCGGAACCCUCAGCCAGGAGGCGCGGCUGGUCGGUCCCAGGUCCCGGCCUCCGUAAUGAGAGCCCGGAACCACUCUUUGUGCCGCAGCUUCGCAGGGUUUUGCUUUGUCACCCAGGCUGGAGUGCAAUGACAUGAUCACAGCUCACUGCAGCCAUACCUCCUGGGUUCGAGUGAUCUUCCCACAUCAGCCUCCUGAGUAGCUGGGACUAUAGGCUGUGUCGUCCCAAAGAUACUAAGUAACAGGCAGAAUUGGAUAUGGCACAAAUUUCUGUUUAAAGAGAUGCGGUCUCGCUCUGUUGCCCAGGCUGUUGUGCAGUGGUAUUCACAGUCAUGA
Molecule: long non-coding RNA, 552 nt
Filed under: Homo sapiens (human)
Lineage: Eukaryota; Metazoa; Chordata; Mammalia; Primates; Hominidae
Description: non-protein coding lnc-ZNF408-5:3
Source: RNAcentral